RNAcentral lists this ribosomal RNA (411 nucleotides) under Triticum aestivum (bread wheat). RNAcentral's name for it is "partial small subunit ribosomal RNA". The record is from RNAcentral. Lineage: Eukaryota; Viridiplantae; Streptophyta; Magnoliopsida; Poales; Poaceae.
AUGCUGGACAGCAGAUACGCUUUGACACCGUGGGCUUUAAGCGACCAGCUGCCGGAGACGAUGUCACAUUUGCUGCUUGGAUGUGUCGUUGCGCGGGAGGUAUGGCAUUCCGUCUUCCGCAAAUGGCAGCAUCUGGAGUGGGCGCCUGACCGCGACGAGCAGCUGAUUUGCAUGGCGAACGACGCGCUCAACGCGACGGAGGGACAUAAGAGACAUGUGGACAGCCAUCAUGUUGGUGUUCUGGUGCAUCUGUCUGGCAGCACCGCGAACGAUGUGAUUGUCAAUGGUGUGGAGGUUUCAGGAGGCAUUGUUUUCUAUACCUACAAAGAAGAGAACCUUGACAUCUUGUCUUCAGGAACUGAGUUUAGCUUUGACAGAUUGUUGUGUAACUGUGCCACUGUUCAACUCUGA